RNAcentral lists this ribosomal RNA (301 nucleotides) under uncultured bacterium. RNAcentral describes it as "partial 16S ribosomal RNA". It matches the Rfam family "Bacterial small subunit ribosomal RNA", at positions 509 to 807 of the family's 1533-position model. The record is from RNAcentral.
CAGUAGCCACGGGAAUACAGAGGGUGCAAGCGUUAAUCGGAUUUACUGGGCGUAAAGGGCGCGUAGGUGGUUAUGUAAGUGAGAUGUGAAAUCCCCGGGCUCAACCUGGGAACUGCAUCUUAUACUGCGUAGCUGGAGUGCAGUAGAGGGUAGUGGAAUUUCCGGUGUAGCGGUGAAAUGCGUAGAUAUCGGAAGGAACACCAGUGGCGAAGGCGGCUACCUGGACUGACACUGACACUGAGGCGCGAAAGCGUGGGGAGCAAACAGGAUUAGAUACCCCAGUAGUCCCUGUCUCUUAUAC